UACGGCGAAACUGCGAAUGGCUCAUUAUAUAAGUUAUCGUUUAUUUGAUAGUACCUUACUACUUGGAUAACCGUGGUAAUUCUAGAGCUAAUACAUGCUGAAAAUCCCGACUCCGGAAGGGAUGUAUUUAUUAGAUUCAAAACCAAUGCCCCUCACGGGGCUCCCUGGUGAUUCAUGAUAACUCGUCGAAUCGCACGGCCUUGCGCCGGCGAUGGUUCAUUCAAAUUUCUUCCCUAUCAACUUUCGAUGUUUGGGUAGUGGCCAAACAUGGUUGCAACGGGUAACGGAGGGUUAGGGCUCGACCCCGGAGAAGGAGCCUGAGAAACGGCUACUACAUCCAAGGAAGGCAGCAGGCGCGCAAAUUACCCAAUCCCGACACGGGGAGGUAGUGACAAUAAAUACUGAUACAGGGCUCUUUUGGGUCUUGUAAUUGGAAUGAGUACAAUUUAAAUCCCUUAACGAGGAACAAUUGGAGGGCAAGUCUGGUGCCAGCAGCCGCGGUAAUUCCAGCUCCAAUAGCGUAUAUUAAAGUUGUUGUGGUUAAAAAGCUCGUAGUUGAACCUUGGGCCUGGCUGGCCGGUCCGCCUCACCGCGUGCACUGGACCGGCCGGGCCUUUCCCUCUGCGGAACCCCAUGCCCUUCACUGGGCGUGGCGGGGAAACAGGACGUUUACUUUGAAAAAAUUAGAGUGCUCCAGGCAGGCCUAUGCUCGAAUACAUUAGCAUGGAAUAAUGAAAUAGGACGCGCGGUUCUAUUUUGUUGGUUUCUAGGACCGCCGUAAUGAUUAAUAGGGACAGUCGGGGGCAUCAGUAUUCAAUUGUCAGAGGUGAAAUUCUUGGAUUUAUUGAAGACUAACUACUGCGAAAGCAUUUGCCAAGGAUGUUUUCAUUAAUCAGGAACGAAAGUUAGGGGAUCGAAGACGAUCAGAUACCGUCGUAGUCUUAACCAUAAACUAUGCCGACUAGGGAUCGGACGAUGUUCUUUCUUGACUCGUUCGGCACCUUACGAGAAAUCAAAGUGC
RNAcentral lists this ribosomal RNA (1021 nucleotides) under Ophiocordyceps blattae. RNAcentral's name for it is "SSU rRNA". It matches the Rfam family "Eukaryotic small subunit ribosomal RNA", at positions 77 to 1106 of the family's 1831-position model. The record is from RNAcentral. Lineage: Eukaryota; Fungi; Ascomycota; Sordariomycetes; Hypocreales; Ophiocordycipitaceae.